Long non-coding RNA from Engraulis encrasicolus (European anchovy), 1610 nucleotides. RefSeq lists it as uncharacterized. Lineage: Eukaryota; Metazoa; Chordata; Actinopteri; Clupeiformes; Engraulidae. The record is from RefSeq and is a predicted model, not a curated record. The transcript has 7 exons.
ACAAAUUGGUUAUCUAACAACUAAUAUCAUUGGUUAAGAACAAAUUGGUUGAUUUAACAAAGAUAUUGGUUAACUUUAAUAACAGAUUGGUUGAAAAAUGACUAAUAUCAUUGGUUAAGCAAAUGUUAACUAAGAGAUUGGUAACUGACGCAGGUCUGACGCUCAACGUCAAGUACGUAACUCUGCUUCUCAAUUUUCUGACAAAGCCGCCAUCUUGGUGCUGCAGGAAAGCCGUUUGAGAUAUUGGUGGAAUUCAAACACUUUGUGAGAUGACAGAAUAUUGCUGAAGGAUCCUACAUGGAAGCUGGCUGAUUACACGGAGUGAUUCCUCUGGUGUGGUGUACCUCAGAGAAAUAAACACUGUUGCAAGAGCUGAGAAGAUGGCCAAGAUAUCCUUAUUGCUGGAUGGUAGCUCUGGUCGUAGUGGACCAUAUCUGCAAAUGCUUCUGAACAUUGACAGAAUUUCUAAAGAUGACUGAGAAUAUUACUGAAGGAUCCUACAUGGAAGCUGUCUGAUUACACUGAGUGAUUCCUCUGGUGUGGUGUACCUCAGAGAAAAUAAACACUGUUGCAAGAGCUCAGAAGAUAUCCUUAUUGCUGGAUGGUUGCUCUCUGGUCGUACUUGAGCCCCCUGGACCAUGUCUGCAAAUGCUUCUGAACAUUGACAGAAUUUCUAAAGGAUCGCUGAGGACUCCCCCUCCAUGCGUGACAUCUUUGAGAAAUUUCCACGCUUUCUGGAGAUGCCAAGUUUGACUGGAAUCAACUUUGCAUCCCUCGGCACUGACACUGAGAAGGUUUCAAGGACCCCACUACUAGGAGGCGAGAGUUUGACACGGCAGUGUCAUCACUGCCAUGGAUGACAAUGUAACCAUUCCUGUUGCUGAUUGCCUGACUUGCGCAGUGACAAGCUUUUCAUGCUCUACUGGGUGUGUAACUUGGCAUAUCCACCACAGUUUAACUCUGUUUUUGCCUCUUUUGAAUAUGUGUACGAUAUAACCAUCUCAACCAAAAAGUGGGCCAAGGUACUGGAACAUUUCUCACUUCAAGUUGCUCUGUAGUCACUGGACAUUUUUUAAAACAUCUACGCAAACACCACCACUCCACACCAUGUGUAUUUUAAUUACUUCUGAUUCCACUGACAUGCAGACUACAUCCUAUGCAGAUUCAGGUAAUUUACCUGGUACUGGAGAAACAGCAUUGUAUGCCAUUCUAAGUGAUACUUGCCUCCUUGUUUUGCAAAAAUGUACUGUUCUUUGAAUAUAACUUAAAGUAAGAUCAUGUUGACUCUGAGGUUUUCUCCGGUUGUCAAGCACAACCUUAACGUUUUGUAAGUAAGUAAUAGUCACAGGAUAUGCAUGCAUUUGUAAUUUGAAUUUUCGUCGAAAACGGCUCACCAAGCAUAAAAUGUUACCUCUGCUUUUGAUUUUUCUUUUUUUUUAAAUGUCCCUUAAUACCAGCCUGUCUUUUUGUUGUGUCCACACAACUUUACCAUCAUCAGUGUUGGGAAGGAACAGAUUGCUGUAAGUUACUGUAUCCCCAUCCUUUCAGAUCAGUGCUUUAAAGCCUUUUGAAAUUAAAUUGUUAAUAAACUUUGUGAAAACAAACUCAAA